AGUCGUAACAAGGUCUCCGUAGGUGAACCUGCGGAGGGAUCAUUAAAGAAUUACCAAUAACAGAAAAGAUUAGAGAUGGUGGAAAGUUCUUUCUACUAUCUAUCACUCUAGUCUUUUCUGAACAAACAAACAUACAUGACUAGGAAACAGAGAUGAGAAAUGAUUUGGUUUGGGGGGAGUGUCUCAUUGACAAGAAGUUCUUGGCUGAUAAGUAGCAUUGAUUUCAUCAAAUGUGAAUUUAUAAUCAAUACAACUUUCAACAACGGAUCUCUUGGCUCUCA
RNAcentral lists this unclassified non-coding RNA (281 nucleotides) under fungal sp. RNAcentral's name for it is "partial internal transcribed spacer region". The stretch from base 1 to 45 matches the Rfam family "Eukaryotic small subunit ribosomal RNA", at positions 1787 to 1831 of the family's 1831-position model. Lineage: Eukaryota; Fungi. The record is from RNAcentral.